CCUACGUGCGGCAGCAGUGAGGAAUAUUGGUCAAUGGUCGGGAGACUGAACCAGCCAAGCCGCGUGAGGGAUGAAGGUACAGAGUAUCGUAAACCUCUUUUGUCAGGGAACAAAGGCGGGGACGUGUCCCCGGAUGCGUGUACCUGAAGAAAAAGCAUCGGCUAACUCCGUGCCAGCAGCCGCGGUAAUACGGAGGAUGGGAGCGUUAUCCGGAUUUAUUGGGUUUAAAGGGUGCGCAGGCGGUAUGUUAAGUCAGCGGUCAAAGCCCGGGGCUCAACCCCGGCCCGCCGUUGAAACUGGCAGUCUCGAGUUGGAGAGAAGUAUGCGGAAUGCGCGGUGUAGCGGUGAAAUGCAUAGAUAUCGCGCAGAACUCCGAUUGCGAAGGCAGCAUGCCGGCUCCACACUGACGCUGAGGCACGAAAGCGUGGGUAUCGAACAGGAUUAGAUAUCCGGGUAGUC
This 459-nucleotide ribosomal RNA is filed under the name uncultured bacterium. RNAcentral describes it as "partial 16S ribosomal RNA". It matches the Rfam family "Bacterial small subunit ribosomal RNA", at positions 338 to 795 of the family's 1533-position model. The record is from RNAcentral.